AUAUUUGCAUUUAGGAAUGGUUUAUCGCUACUUUUCGGUAGUGAUAAUUAAAAGGGAAUCGGGUGUAAAUCCCGGACAGUCCCGCUGCUGUGAAGCUUUAUUUUCAACGUUUUGAUAAUUAAUACCCCUUUAACCACUGGCCUUAGCCGGGAAGGUUUAUCAAAACGGAAGCUAAGUCAGAAGACCUGCCAUCUGUUUGAAGUCUAU
Molecule: non-coding RNA, 207 nt
Filed under: Bacteroides graminisolvens
Lineage: Bacteria; Pseudomonadati; Bacteroidota; Bacteroidia; Bacteroidales; Bacteroidaceae
Source: RNAcentral